This 407-nucleotide unclassified non-coding RNA is filed under the name uncultured Metarhizium. RNAcentral's name for it is "sequence contains ITS2". The stretch from base 1 to 154 matches the Rfam family "5.8S ribosomal RNA". The record is from RNAcentral. Lineage: Eukaryota; Fungi; Ascomycota; Sordariomycetes; Hypocreales; Clavicipitaceae.
GACUUUCGACAAUGGAUCUCUUGGUUCUGGCAUCGAUGAAGAACGCAGCGAAAUGCGAUAAGUAAUGUGAAUUGCAGAAUUCAGUGAAUCAUCGAAUCUUUGAACGCACAUUGCGCCCGCCAGUAUUCUGGCGGGCAUGCCUGUUCGAGCGUCAUUUCAACCCUCAAGUCCCCUGUGGACUCGGUGUUGGGACCGGCGAGACAGCCGCGGAUCUUCUUCCGCAGCGAGUCGCCGCCCCCCAAAUGACUUGGCGGCCUCGUCGCGGCCCUCCCCUGCGUAGUAUAGCACACCUCGCAACAGGAGCCCGGCGAAUGGCCACUGCCGUAAAACCCCCCAACUUUUUCAGAGUUGACCUCGAAUCAGGUAGGAAUACCCGCUGAACUUAAGCAUAUCAAUAAGCGGAGGCU